Parus major (Great Tit) is the source of this 1840-nucleotide long non-coding RNA. RefSeq lists it as uncharacterized. The transcript is spliced from 3 exons. NCBI's taxonomy places the organism in Eukaryota, Metazoa, Chordata, Aves, Passeriformes, Paridae. The record is from RefSeq and is a predicted model, not a curated record.
CCAUGACACAUGAUAAUGUAUACAUCUGCAUCACUUCAUUUCUUAUGAGCUUGUCUUUUUUUUCCAGAUUCCAUCAACAAGUAGAAAGUACAGAUGAGAGGGAAACACCAAAUAAUUGAAGAUAAUAAAAAAGUCCCUGUGCGGUUCUGUGCAUCUGCUUGAAUUAGAUGACUUAGUUAUUUCUACCUGCAGAGCUCAUGACACCAUUGGAGGUGAGAGAAGAAAAACUCUUCCCUUUUUCAAGCACAUCUCUGCCUGCAAUGGAAAGGCAUCCAGAGAAAGAGAGAGAGAGCACACAACCAAGUGCUGCACAGCCAGACUGGAGGGAUUUACAGCACACACCAACUGCACUGUACAAAACUCUACCACUCUCAGCUACACAAGGCUUGUGUGAGUGCUUCUCAUUUGUCUCCCUGCAAAAUAAGACAGUUUAACUGGAACAACCACAGGAGAAUUUAUGUGCUGAAUUUCCUACUAAAGCUGAUCAGGAAAUUUUCCCAAAAUCUAUGGCCUUAGUUAACUGUGUGAAUAGUACUUCAUGCAGCAAGAGUAGAUUCCUAAAACCCCUUCUUAAUAUUUUGGUCUACUUCUUUUUUGUGUUCCUGCUGUCAAAAUGGCUGGAUGGUUACCAGUUUAAUAUAAUCCUUGUAUUCAGAGUAAGCAGAAGAGAGAUAUUGCACUUAGAACUAGUACAAUAGGGAACUUGGUAGACAUUCUGAUACUUCUUUUACAUCCUCAUAUCAGCACGAUGAAGUCCAGUUUAUUGUGCUUUGUGCUUUUACAGCAUUUUUCAACAGAGGAGCUCAAAGUGCUGAACAAAUAUAAACCCGAUAAUAGCCCAGGGCAAAAAACACAUGGUUUUGUGGUAUUUUUGCUUUACUGAAAAUUAGAAAUGGAAAGAAGUUUAAAGAUAAAGUCUAAUUCAAACAGAUACUAAGGAGAAAGUGUGAAGAAUGAGAACCAAUAAAGAACUUAAGCUCCUAUAAAUUAGGUACUAGAAUGUCCAUUCUUCAGUUUGGAACCUCUGAAUUCCUUAAAGUAGAAUCUACAAAAGGCAGUUAUACAUUUUAUGCUCCACUACAUUGUAUAAGAAAAUUACUUGCAUUAAAAGAAUUGUCCCCACAAAUGGCAUAGACCUGGAAGCUUCCUAAAGGAAACAAUAAUUCCUGCGCACCACUGGUAUUUGCUAGUAUCUCAGAAGUAUGAAUAUCACAGUCAAGACAAAGGAGAGAUCUAUGGUAGGAGUAUUAGAAGCACAAGACAAAAUGAGAUUAAAUAAAAAUCAGUUUGGAUUUAUUAAAAGAGGUAGGCACACAUAGGGCAUUGUACUAAAGCAUAAUGCUCCAAUAAGAGUUUUGGACAAGACAAAAGGCUUCAAAACAAAAAAGCUUCUAAAAUUUUGUAUUUACUGAAGUCUACAGCUAUGUAUUCUCAGUAUAAACUGGCUUGAGCAAAGAGAAAAAUAACCCCACAUCCUUUGGCAUUGGUGAGCUUGCAUCAAGCUCAUGAAAUGAAAUUGACAGAUUAUCAAACAUCUGUGUUCCUACUUGUUUUGGGGUUGCAUGGCCUAGUUUUUGGCAGCGGGGAGGCCAGAGAGGUGACUUCUGUGAAAAGCUACUAGAGGCUUCCACAACAUCCAGCAGAGCCAAUCUCUGGUGGUUCUGAAGAAAGACAUGCUGCUGGCCAUGGCUGGGCUGAUUAGAAAUGGUGGUAAUGCCUUUGUGAUAACAGAUUUAAGAAGAAAUCAAAACAAAGGUUGUGGCACAGUUUUCAUUCCAGCCAGCAAAGAGGAGGAGGUGAGAACAUGUGAGAAGAACAGCCCUGCAGACACCCAGGUCAG